This 808-nucleotide ribosomal RNA is filed under the name uncultured bacterium. RNAcentral's name for it is "bacterial SSU rRNA". It matches the Rfam family "Bacterial small subunit ribosomal RNA", at positions 46 to 887 of the family's 1533-position model. The record is from RNAcentral.
GGAUUAGGCAUGCAAGUCGCGGGAAUCCCCAGCAAUGGGGGGAACCGGCGUAAGGGGCAGUAAGGCAUGGGUGACCUACCCGGCGGUUGGGCAUAGCCCGUAGAAAUACGGGGUAAUUCCCAGCGAUGUCGCAAGACCAAAGCUCCGGCGCCUCCGGAGGGGCCCAUCUAGUAUUAGCUAGUUGGUGGGGUAACGGCCCACCAAGGCAAAGAUGCUUAGCGGGUGUGAGAGCACGACCCGCGCCACUGGCACUGAGACACUGGCCAGACACCUACGGGUGGCUGCAGUCGAGGAUCUUCGGCAAUGGGCGCAAGCCUGACCGAGCGACGCCGCGUGUGCGAUGAAGGCCUUCCGGUUGUAAAGCACUGUCGAGGGGGAGAAAGCCGAAAGGUUGAUCUAUCCCUGGAGGAAGCACGGGCUAAGUUCGUGCCAGCAGCCGCGGUAAGACGAACCGUGCGAACGUUGUUCGGAAUCACUGGGCUUAAAGGGCGCGUAGGCGGGCUGCAAAGUCCGGGGUGAAAUCCUCCCGCUCAACGGGAGAACGGCCUCGGAUACUUGCGGUCUCGAGGGAGGUAGGGGCGUGCGGAACUAUGGGUGGAGCGGUGAAAUGCGUUGAUAUCCAUAGGAACUCCGGUGGCGAAGGCGGCACGCUGGACCUUUUCUGACGCUGAGGCGCGAAAGCCAGGGGAGCAAACGGGAUUAGAUACCCCGGUAGUCCUGGCCCUAAACGAUGAGAACUAGGUAGUAGACUUGACAUGGGUUUACUGCCGAAGCAAAGUGCUAAGUUCUCCGCCUGGGGAGUAUGGUC